GCCCGGCUAUGGCUGUGCUGCGUAGUAUUGCGUGCUGUGCUCUCAGCGGGCGCCAUCUCGGGCGUCUCCUGCCGCCGCCAUUUUGUGAACUGACAGCAACACUGACUCAAACUCCUCCCUCCUCGAUUUCAGCUGUUGUCACCGAUAGAGAUGAGGGCUCUAACAAUAUGGCAAUUGAAAAUGUGAAUGAUCAUAAUAUGCCUCAAACUAAUAAAUCUUUUGAGAAUGAGGCAAACAAAAGAGAAACCAAGGAAAUGACUAAUUGUAUGGAUGAUCUGAGCCUAAAUUCUCCAGAAGGGAGACUAUCUCGUUCACGGUCUAAGACACAUUCCAGUAAGCGCAGAUCUUCCUCUUCCAGCACCUCAAGUUCUUCUAGUUCAUCAAGAUCUUCACAGUCGAGAAGCUGGAGCAGGUCUCUGUCACGUGAUAGGAAAUAUAGACAUAAAAGAACAAGGAGAAGCUCCAGGUCUUAUUCCCGUGGCCGUUCUAGAUCUCGCUGUACAAACUACUCCGGUUCAAGCCACUGCAGAAGCAGAUCCAGGUCCUACAGCCCAAGGCAGAGGAGAAGAUAUUCAUCUACUUACAGAAGAUAUUACAGAUCUCCUCCUCGGUAUAGGUCACGUAGUAGAUCACGCUCUCGUUCAUAUUACAGAAGUCGCUACUCAAGGAGCAGAUCCCGUUCUCGAGGCCGGCGUUACUAUGGCUUUGUAAGGCGUCCUUAUUCUCCCACUUUCAGGACUUUGAGAAGUCGAUCAAGGACCCGUUCUCGCAGCAGAACACCACUGCGGUUAAGUGAAAAGGAAAAGUUAGAGUUGUUGGAAAUUGCAAAGAUGAAUGCGUCAAAAAUCCUUGGAAAGGAAGUUGAUCUACCAGAAAGCCUGAAGAAGAAUGCAGAGAUUGAGAAUAAUGAAGAAGAGGCCUGUCUCAUUUGCAGAUAAGUUAAUUGUACCAAUAUCUGAUGGUGGUUGCUUGUAUAUAUUUUUCUCCACGAUUUGGUUUUCAACUUAUGGUAGUGCUAGAAGAGUAUUGCUUAUAGUUUGCCUCUUUGGCAAAAAGAGGUUACAUGUGCUUGGUCUCCUAACAAGCGAAAGCCAUUUAACAGUAUGUGUUCAAUGUAAAGUCCUGAUGACUUGAGGCCACGUGCACAGUAUUUCAUUUUAUAAACUAGUAAAUAGUUUUCUCGUUUUGGUUGCAAUUAACCAGUGCAAAAAUGUAUGAAAGUGUUGGAGCUGUUUACAUGCAUUUAAAAAAAAAAAAAAAAAAAAAAUGCUUAUGCUAUAUUGGAAAUUCUACUUUUGGUUGAUAGUGUAGGUGGGGAAUCCAGCUGUAUCUUCUUGUAGUUGGCUUAUAAUUCUGUUAUAAGUGUUAUCUGGAUAUCUUAUAACUCUGUUUCCACUCUAAAUCUGUGGUGGUCGGCUUACUGCAUUAAGUAUAUUUGCUUUGCCAGUAUAUUGAACUGGUAAUGGGAUGUCUGCAUAUUUGUUCAGACAGAGUCUACCUAUUGUGCCAAAUUCCACCUGCUCCCUUUUUCAAGAAUUGGGACUAUAAUUUAAACAGGAGGAUAUAUACAGGGCACAUUAUUGCAGGAAGUGAACAAACUUAAACCACUUUGACAUCAAAGACCCAGGUUUUCAGACACAGUUUGGACCUGGGUUAUUUCUGGGUCGGCCCUAUUUAACUAAACCUGAGUCUGCCCUGCAUGUCACUCAAAUUCUCCCUUAAGACUGAUCUCUGCAUAUACAACCGGUCGGCAGCUGUUAAGCAUAACCUAGGUUGGAUAACCCGACUCGAGCUGUUUACACUGCAUCAUUACCUGGGUCCAACCCUGGUAGCUACCAGGGUCUGAUUCCCAAGUCACUCGACCUGGGUUAUUUUUAAGGAUCCUUUGACACAAAGCUGUCUGGGUAGACCAGAUCAAAAGUUCUGUGUAAAAGGGGUAUUAUAAAGCACUGGAAGGACAAUUGUCCUGAAGCAAGUUACAGAGUGAUCAUUAAUAGAAGCCUUCUGACACUUUUGUCGGCUUGAGCUCCCCAAACAUGUUCAAUGUUCAAGAUCACUGAAUACAUUUGUUACCGCUCAUGCCAAAAAAUGGCUACUUGUGGCUGCUUUUUUUUUCUAGUGAGGGGCAUACGGUGAAUGCAAGUGUGGUACUGUAGUUACAAACUUACCAGGGUAUGUGUGUGUGUGUGUGUGUGUAUAUAUAGAUCUUUCUCGCUAAAUAUUUUCUUGCUUUACAGCUAUCCAGAAGUGAAUCUGAAAAUGCUAAACAGACUAUCUACAAAUCUCACGGUAGCUGUUCUAGUAAAAGUGGUUCAGACACAGACUCUUCAAAGAAGG
Molecule: RNA transcript, 2337 nt
Organism: Pseudophryne corroboree (corroboree frog)
Lineage: Eukaryota; Metazoa; Chordata; Amphibia; Anura; Myobatrachidae
Gene: RSRP1
Gene name: arginine and serine rich protein 1
Exons: 6
Source: RefSeq, a predicted model, not a curated record